This 102-nucleotide microRNA precursor is filed under the name Lolium arundinaceum. RNAcentral's name for it is "Festuca arundinacea miR164a stem-loop (far-MIR164a, far-MIR164b)". Its record names the gene far-MIR164a. The record is from miRBase by way of RNAcentral. Lineage: Eukaryota; Viridiplantae; Streptophyta; Magnoliopsida; Poales; Poaceae.
GGUAGCUGCUGUUGUUGCUGGCACUGUUAUUAUUGAAGCUGGAGAAGCAGGGCACUUGCUCAAGUGCAGUGGCGGCAGAGGUGGAGUUCAUGGUGGCAUGGA